RNAcentral lists this ribosomal RNA (528 nucleotides) under Pseudoalteromonas sp. RNAcentral's name for it is "bacterial SSU rRNA". It matches the Rfam family "Bacterial small subunit ribosomal RNA", at positions 1 to 526 of the family's 1533-position model. Lineage: Bacteria; Pseudomonadati; Pseudomonadota; Gammaproteobacteria; Alteromonadales; Pseudoalteromonadaceae. The record is from RNAcentral.
CGUUGAGAGUUUGAUCCUGGCUCAGAUUGAACGCUGGCGGCAGGCCUAACACAUGCAAGUCGAGCGGUAACAGAAAGUAGCUUGCUACUUUGCUGACGAGCGGCGGACGGGUGAGUAAUGCUUGGGAACAUGCCUUGAGGUGGGGGACAACAGUUGGAAACGACUGCUAAUACCGCAUAAUGUCUACGGACCAAAGGGGGCUUCGGCUCUCGCCUUUAGAUUGGCCCAAGUGGGAUUAGCUAGUUGGUGAGGUAAUGGCUCACCAAGGCAACGAUCCCUAGCUGGUUUGAGAGGAUGAUCAGCCACACUGGAACUGAGACACGGUCCAGACUCCUACGGGAGGCAGCAGUGGGGAAUAUUGCACAAUGGGCGAAAGCCUGAUGCAGCCAUGCCGCGUGUGUGAAGAAGGCCUUCGGGUUGUAAAGCACUUUCAGUCAGGAGGAAAGGGUGUGAGUUAAUACCUCACAUCUGUGACGUUACUGACAGAAGAAGCACCGGCUAACUCCGUGCCAGCAGCCGCGGUAAUAC